CGGUCGUUCACGGCGGCCACCGAGCCGUCCGCGGUCUCCAGCAGCGCGCGGACCGUGCCGAUCGCGGCGGUGGCGUCCGCCCA
This 83-nucleotide transfer RNA is filed under the name Kitasatospora xanthocidica. RNAcentral's name for it is "tRNA-Trp". The record is from RNAcentral. Lineage: Bacteria; Bacillati; Actinomycetota; Actinomycetes; Kitasatosporales; Streptomycetaceae.